Molecule: long non-coding RNA, 848 nt
Filed under: Lathyrus oleraceus (garden pea)
Lineage: Eukaryota; Viridiplantae; Streptophyta; Magnoliopsida; Fabales; Fabaceae
Description: Pisum sativum (pea) long non-coding RNA (PSAT_LNC010217)
Source: RNAcentral
UUAAUAUAGCAUAAUUUAUAUUCCCUUUAAUCUCCACUAUACAUGUGUAAUUUAUGUUACAAGUUGUUACCUAUAAGUUAUUUCCCAAUAUAUAUAUAUAUAUAUAUAUAUAUAUAUAUAUACCGGUUGUUAUAGUUUUGUAAUAACUACUCAAUAAAUAAUAGCUUUACACCUCAUUCUGUUAUCUUCUUCCUUUCCUUAUCCUGUUCAUUAUCUCUCUCUUCUUGGCUUCUUGUACCAUUAACAAUGAAUUUGAAUACUCGCGUGGUGGAGCUAGCUACGGAAGAGAGUGAUGGGACUGGAUGAAACUUGAGGAGUUAUUUCAGCAUGAUAUCCUUAAUAGGAUGAUAUCCUUAAUAGGAUAGGUGAUAUACAUCCUCCAAGAAAGAAAUAAGGCCUUGAUGAUUGCAGGUGGGGUGAUACUAACAAUGGAUCUUACUUCAUUGGUUCUUCUUAUCGUAAUUGGACUGGUACUGAGCAUUAUUCAUAAUGCGUUGAUUGGAAAAACAUGUGGCGUAUACUAAUCUUUGAACGCACUCUAGAAUUAAAUUUUUUCGCUCCACUAUUUCACAUGUAAUCAUAGGCCAUGAUCUGGUUAAUCGUAGGCCAUGAUAUCACUGAAUUUUGUUUAUGGUAAAGUUGAAACUAUUAUCCUUUUCAAAAUAACAAUUGGAAAAAAGCAAUGGCUGAGUUGGGUUGAUAACAUGAUCUUGACAAAUCUGAAGUGAUUGGCAGCUAUCUGGAGUGCAAAGCAAAGAAAAAGAAAAGCAAAAUGAGUGGAUAAUCAAAUUUGGAACCAUUGGUUUUGGUUUCAAGUUGACACACAAAACAAACAUGACAUUAAGGUA